Long non-coding RNA from Larimichthys crocea (large yellow croaker), 518 nucleotides. RefSeq lists it as uncharacterized. The record is from RefSeq and is a predicted model, not a curated record. The transcript is spliced from 4 exons. NCBI's taxonomy places the organism in Eukaryota, Metazoa, Chordata, Actinopteri, Sciaenidae.
UUUAUUUCUGCUGUGCAUGUCACUUAAUUCACCGACUCUGCCACACCCUCCACUACAAUCAGGACUAUCACACACACCUGCUACUCACCUGCACACACACCUGAUUCCCAUCUACCCAGAUCCCAACACAUUCACUGAGCAGAUCCCAUGCAAGACUCUCCAGCGUUUAUCUUUUGGACCUGCCUGUUCUGGACUCUUUGCCUGGACUGCAGCGCCCGCCAACGUUACCAGAAAAUGUGAUUUCUCAAAGCACGCCUCCCUCAAGAUUUGCUCUGCCUCCAACGACAGCUUUUUCUGGUUAACCACACAUUUACGGUCAAGGGGUGCCACUUAGCCCGGAGGAGGGGGAUGAAAAGCACAUGUGACACUGGAUCCUGGCAGGGCUAAUGGUCAUUACUCGGCCUCGUAGAUAUGCUGUGACUGAGCAGUAACCUCCGUGUCUGUGAAGUGAAGUCAAAAACUGCAGUUCCUCAAACGUCCACUUGAGGCUGGCUCCAGAAGUGAGUCAGUCUCCAUAA